This is a long non-coding RNA of Ficedula albicollis (Collared flycatcher), 845 nucleotides long. RefSeq lists it as uncharacterized. Lineage: Eukaryota; Metazoa; Chordata; Aves; Passeriformes; Muscicapidae. The record is from RefSeq and is a predicted model, not a curated record. The transcript has 3 exons.
CCAGAAUGAAGAAAAAAGGUCUUUCAGUGACCAAAUCAAUUAGUCAGAAGAACUUCAAACUCUUUCUUCAGGUAUGCAGAAAGCAAUGGACAGAGUUCAGAGCUCAGAUGCAAUGCAGAGUCAUUAAUUUCUUCUACAGGACCCAGAAGAGACCUCUGAUCAUAUGAUGUACCCUAUGCAUACAUUUGGUGCCUACCAUUGCACUGCAAUACUACCCAUAGUGGGAAAGCAAAGUUCUGGAGAAAGAGAAAGCAGUACAGAGAGCACAGAACAACUAGGACACUGCAACUUUAUCUGAUGUCUUUCUUUGAGGGCUGCUCCACAGACCCAUCAGACCUGCAUGCCUUCCUCAACUGCUGAUAAAGUGGAAACCAGCCUGCUGGAUGAUGUAUGAAUGUCCCAGCUACACAGGCCAUCAAUAUUUCCUGAAAGUGGAAUCUCUCUGGACUGCCAGCACUGUGUGGGCAUCAAUGUCAAAACAAAACAAAACAAAACAAAAAGAAAACAAACAAAAAACCCAAACAAAAACCCAAACAAACAAAACACCAAAACAACAACAACAACAAACUUUCAGACCUUAGAGAAAAAAAAUUCUUCAUUUAUGAUUAUGAAAAUACCAAACUCCACCUGUAAUUGAGCCCAUGGACUAACUCCAUGCUUGAAUUGAUUAAAGGAUGUACCUUUCAUCUUGAGUUGCCCCAUACAAGCAAUGGCCUUCACAGAAGUAUUUCUUCUCUGAGUACACUGGCAAGCUGACAGCAAACAGUGUCAUCAUGGAAAUACUGCAUACCAAGCCUCCAGCUGUGACACUGGAUGGCUUAAGACAGAGCAAAGCAUUUACAGUA